RNAcentral lists this ribosomal RNA (253 nucleotides) under uncultured bacterium. RNAcentral's name for it is "partial 16S ribosomal RNA". It matches the Rfam family "Bacterial small subunit ribosomal RNA", at positions 524 to 776 of the family's 1533-position model. The record is from RNAcentral.
UACAGAGGGUGCAAGCGUUAAUCGGAAUUACUGGGCGUAAAGCGUGCGUAGACGGUCACGUAAGUCAGAUGUGAAAGCCCCGGGCUCAACCUGGGAAUUGCAUUUGAGACUGCGUAGCUAGGGUGCGGAAGAGGGAAGCGGAAUUUCCGGUGUAGCGGUGAAAUGCGUAGAUAUCGGAAGGAACACCAGUGGCGAAAGCGGCUUCCUGGUCCAGCACCGACGUUCAGGCACGAAAGCGUGGGGAGCAAACAGG